CGAAUAACCAAAUAAAGAGAGCUAUCUGUCGACAGUCUAGUUAAAAUCUAUUCACCACAGAAUAUUACUGUCAUGGAAUUGCUCUCUUUGUAUAGUAUUCG
Non-coding RNA from Glossina brevipalpis, 101 nucleotides. The record is from Rfam. NCBI's taxonomy places the organism in Eukaryota, Metazoa, Arthropoda, Insecta, Diptera, Glossinidae.